Molecule: signal recognition particle RNA, 98 nt
Filed under: Crocinitomicaceae bacterium
Lineage: Bacteria; Pseudomonadati; Bacteroidota; Flavobacteriia; Flavobacteriales; Crocinitomicaceae
Description: signal recognition particle sRNA small type
Rfam family: Bacteroidales small SRP
About the family: The non-coding component of the signal recognition particle in Bacteroides
Source: RNAcentral
GGGUAAGUCUUGUACGACCAGCUCCUUCUAACUCCUCCAGGGCAGGAAUGCAGCAAAGGUAAGAAGUUGAGCGGUGCGAUGCGAGUAGCUUGCCCCAC